Molecule: ribosomal RNA, 20 nt
Filed under: Calamagrostis sp. Cnj-1
Lineage: Eukaryota; Viridiplantae; Streptophyta; Magnoliopsida; Poales; Poaceae
Also listed under: 1 other name
Description: partial 26S ribosomal RNA
Source: RNAcentral
CGACCCCAGGUCAGGCGGAC